GUGAUGUCCAUGUGUAGAGUCUUCUCUUGUGUUGUUGGAAGAGGGUGUUUCCUAUGACCAAUGCAUUCUCUUGGCAAAACUCUAUGAACUGCUGCCCGGAUUUAAAUAGUUUUUUGUAUAAUCCAUUUCUUAAUCCAUAAUCUAAUCUGUUCCUUUGAAUUAGGCAUUAAUCUUUUUCUAAAGAAAUAGUGCUUAACAAAAUUAAAGGUUCAUCUGCUAACCUCAAUCUUGAGUCUGGGAAGUUGUAUAAAUCAUAUGCGUAUCUGGGUAAUCUGGUAUGGCCACCCUUCAUAAAUGGGUUUGCAUAGAUAUUAUGAAAGAAAGAAACAUUUAAAUUGGGGCAGGAUAACAAAAAUUAAGAGCACUUGGGCAUGAAUAGAAGGAAUGUUCAGUAUGUUUCAUUGACUGUUAGAUACAUGGGAUUUCACAAGACGUUUAAAUGAGAGGAAAUGGGCUCUCUAGAAUCAGUGAAAUACCAUAUUUGUGAAUGCAGAAGUUUUCAGUCAAGGUCAUUAUUUCUGGAGUAUUGAGUUGUUUCCUGUGAAAAGAAAACAGAGAUGCGUGUUUAUCAUUGAUCUUUUUUUUUUUUUUUAGGUCACAGUGGGACAUCUUAUCUGAUUAUUUGAAUUGUUUUCAGUCUGGUGUCUACCUUCUGUUUUAGAAUUCCCAUUUACUUAAUAUUUAUACCCGUGUCACUAAAAAGGGCCUUCAGGAAAGCAUCUUGUGGGGAAGGCCAUCAAACAAGAAAACAAUCUAGUAGCAUUCUUGCAGUUUUAUUUAGGAGAUUCUGCCUUCAGGAAAUCAGAGAUCGGUGGUUUCCUUAAGAUUGAUGCCUCCACUGCGCCUGCCGAGCACUGGUCCGUCUCUGUGUCCGCAGUCAGGCUGUGCGGUGAGGGAGCAGGACUGACCCUGAUGAUACAAUCAGGUGCAGGUUUACAGGGUUCAUGGUAGGGCCAGAUCAUAUCCCUUGACUUUUAAAAUCUGUUGUUUUGAUGGGAAGUUCUGGGUUCAGUUUGUGUCUGCUAUUUUUCAAGUUUGAAGGCCCUUUCUAAAUCUCAGCUUGCUUAUCUGGAAAUCACAUAAUAAGAUUUUUGUUGAGAUAAAACAGUGCAGUGCUUUUGAACCUGUAAGGUGCUGUUGGAGUGUUAGGUCCAGCUGUUCAUUAAUUCUCAUGUAUAUUAAGAUGUUUGGGUUUGGUUGUACCUAUUUUUAAAUGUGAAAGUAGCAGUUUCCUAUUUUUUCCUGACCUCCGCCUCCUCUCACCCAGGUCCCUUCCAUGGGGGACCUGGUUUUUCUGUUAUUAUUUAAUGAUCUUUCCCAUCCCUUGCUCUUGGCUCCUGUUUCUUUCCCGGUGUAGAAUACCUGUUUCCCCUGCGUUCCUAUCUGGAAGAGCCUGUCUACAGAGCCCAUCCUAUCUGCAGAGCCUUCCGUAAGCUGAAGUGGUGUGAAGGCAAGAGGCAGUUGCUUAAGACGCAUGUUGCUGAGGAGGCACAGAGGAGCCGAGAAUAAAAGCCACCCUCAUUCCAGGGGGGAGUGUAACGUUUACAGUACCUUUCAAAGUCAUUAAGAGUUGGACUACUUGAAAAGUCUAGAAAUUGAAGGAAAAAUUGAUAAAAUUAGGUGGUUACCUAACAGAAUGCUGCUUAUUUUCUGCUCUCUACAAAUGAUAAAACUGUUAACGUAUGGGAAAUAAGUGAAGGGGAUAAAAGAGCAGAAGACUAUAAUUUAAAACACGAAGAUGGACGACUCUGAGAUCCGUUUAGAGUCACGGCACUGCGGGUACAUAUAUUUUUUUAACUAUCCGGUACUUGUCUUGAAUUAGUCAGUGGCAGCGCUCAAGUCGGCUGUGCAGACAGCGCUGUGCCGCGCACAGAAAUGCUGUGAGGCCUGCCUUCCCGUGAGUGUCGGCACAGUCACCUCGUGUGCUGUGGAGUGGGGGUCCUUAUUUUCACAAAGACGAAAAGUCACACAAUGCUACUGAAGAAAAGGCUGAUUUAAUUCCACAACAGGUCUCUCUGAGUGCAUCUGCUGUCUUUCCCUCCGAGGUUCGGUGUAGCUCGGUCGGUGGGGAUGGAGCAGGUGGCGCUGAGCGCAGUUCCCUGUGGGAAGCUGACCUGCAGACAGGCAGGGAGGCCUCCGCCAGGUUUCCUCUGAGCCAGCUAGGGUAGAGCCUGACGUCCCGGAAUUCUUGGCUCAUCAGUCCAUUAGCAUCAUUGCUAGUUCUUUUUUCAUAAAUAAAUUCUUCAGUCCCUUUUUGGUGUGCAUAGGUACGCUGUGAAUGGCCAUAUCCAUUCUGAUAUCUUAAUUUUUCAUCACAUUUUGACAUCUGUGAAAUUGAAUAAAACUUAAAAUCUGGUAUUUUGCUGUUGGCCUAGUGAGGACCCCAUGGAUGGUGUCUGUAAUAAAAUGAAGUGUGUGAAGGAGGUUCAACAAGCUUGAGUCCUGCCCUGGUGAGACGCUGGGGUGCUGCCUCGGGCCAGGCGGCCCGCCCACCCCGGAGACCAGCCCCGACACCGCCUAGAGUGCCCCUCAGCCGCCUGCCUGGGUCCCCUGAGCGCCGUGGGCCGCGCGGUCGGUCGGUCAGUUCAAGCUUUGUUGGGAGUGGUCUGCCCGGUGAGGGCCCAGUGCGUGAGCACACUGUGGAUUAGUGGCCAAGGAGCCAGAAGAGGGCGGGGUGUGGCAGACAGCCCCCCACGCCUGCAGCAGCCUGGCCCGGGCCCGCCUCCCUCCCGCUCUGCCGGCCGUGUGCACGCAGUGCUGGGCGGCCACACAGGACAGAGGCGCGGCCCCGCCGUGAGGAGGACGGGGGGUCAUGGUAGGUGCUCCCAGGGAGCAGGGUGGGGGACCGUGUAGGUCAGUGGCAGCACCCUGCUUCCAGGAGGUGAGGCAGAGAAAGCUGUGCAGUUGGGUGAAAUCUGGACCCUAAUUUGAACCAGGAUGUUUGGAUCCAAGCAGUGUUUUGCAGGCUUGUUCUCGCACGGUCCUCCUCACCUCCGUCCUACUGCUGUGUCUCGGAGUCUGUUCUUCUGGAUGUGGUUUGCUGCAGAGACCUGCAGUGGACGUUCACUGUGACUUCCAGGGUUUCCCUCUAAAGUGGGAACUUCCCUCUCCCUCGGGGAAGCUCACUGUCUCUGUAAAGGGAAUCGCCUCAGCUCCUGCCUCCAGGGUCGACGCAGAGGCAGUUUUAAACAGUGUGUACGUCAAAGAUUACAGUGCCUGUAAUCACUUCCUUCACACCUAAGCUCUUAAACCUCCUGCCUGCGAGCCCUGCCUUAACCAUGCGCUUCCAGAAAUCGUGGACAGAAGCCAGCCAACAUGGAGGAGCUGAUGGAGGUGGUCACGGUGGAGCCCGCCCCCUCCAAGGCAGCAUGCUUGUCCACAGCGGAGCCUGACCCCCUCCAGGGCAGCAUGCUUGUCCACAGCGAAGCCCGACCCCCUCUAGGGCAGCGUGCUUGUCCACAGCGAAGCCCGAACCCUCUAGGGCAGCGUGCUUGUCCACAGCGGAGCCUGACUCCCUCCAGGGCAGCGUGCCCAUCCACAACGGAGCCCCGCCCCCUCCAGGGCAGUGAGCUCGUCCACAAUGGAGCCCGUCCCCUCCAGGGCAGCGUGCUCCUCUACAGCACCAGCAAGGGGCCCGUCCACCCCGUGCUGCCGGCACGCCGAGGAAGUGGAAACACUGUGUUUUCCGGUUUGGGAAGAGCCCAGCAGUAGGUCCUUCUCAGAAAGCAGCUCCUCCGUGUCCGACGUGAACUUCAGCCACGUGGUCGGUACUGGAUGGGCCGGGACUACCUGUCGGUGGAGGUGUGGGACCUGAACACGCAGCGCCGGCCUGUCGAGACCCACCAGGCGAGGCCGUGGGCGCCACCGCCCCGACCUUCCUGUGCUUCCAUGAGGUCCACGAGUACCUUCGAAGCAAGCUGUGUUCCCUCUACAAUGACUGCAUCUUUGACAACUCCAAGUGCUGCUGGAAUGGCUCCGACAGGUCCACCCAGAGGGACGAGACGCUGGAGGCCUCCAGGGAGAACAGCAGGCCCCAGGCCAGCCUGCAGCCUCGCAGGGUGUGUGCGGGCAGGUAGCGGAAGGGCAAGGUGAGCGUGGGCAGCCUGGACCAGCAGGAAGACCCUGCACACACCGGCACGCGGCCGGGAGUGUCAUCGCCGCGGCCGCCGCCAGCUGCCUGUACACCUUCCAGAUGAGGUCAGCUGCGGCAGCAGAGGCCCCGCGUCUGCGGAAUCGCGUCCUCUCGCUGGCGGAGCACAGGUGGCCGCCUCUCCUCGGAGAAGCCGGGACGCCCUCCUGCCUCAGCGCAGGCUGCCUGGGGUUCCUAGCGGGGACCCCGGCUUCUGCUCCGGGGAGGGGAGCCCUGGGUGUCGCUGCUCAGGUCUGAGCCUGCCUUCCAGACUAGAGACCAGACAUCCACACCCCAGAGAAGAGGCGUCAGGUGCAACCUCUCCUGCCAGCCCUCCUCCUCCUCUGCCGUCAGCCGGCCUCCACCCACACGGCUCCGGCUGCCACCCGCCCGCCGGCCUCGGCGGCUCUGCGUCCGGGUCUCUCAGGCAGCUUCACUCCGCUGCCCCGGUAUCCACUGUCACCCCUUCUGGGGCAACCGCUUAGUAAAAGAACGCACUGUAAAGAGUGUUUUUAAGUCCAAAAUAGGCAUCGUCUUUUUAUUUGCUUUCAUUGCACAUAACAAAAUUAUGCAGAAUUAAGACUUUAAAACUCUUUUAUCCUUCACUGACAGAAUGGUGGAAUGUGUGUAGUGCUUGAGGCUCUGAGCGUAUGUAUCCCCAGUUCUGUAACCUUCGUUUCUGUAGAACUGGUACCCCUGACCCACCAGGUGAGGACUGGACAAAGCCUUAACAGAGAGAAAAUCACAGGGAGGAGUAACAGGACCGCUGCCGAGAAGCCAGCUCGGGGUUUAGAGCACACGACAGAUGCUCUGCAGUUGAAGACUUUUGUGCUUUUUCUAAAAUUUGUUUAAAAGUACUAGGUGCAGGGUGGGGGGAUAACAUACUUUUUUAAAAUAUUAAAAUUAUACCCUAGAUUUCACACUUAAAGGCAGCGAAAAUUAAAGCAUUUUAAUUUCUAUCCCUUGAUGGUUUGUUUUAACAGUAGGAUCUUUGGUAUCAGAAAUCAAGAUUUCCCCCCACCCCCCAAAAAAACAGAGGUAACAGUAAGUCACUGGAGCUUGCUCUGUGGAAUUCCACACUGGAGCCGGGGCCCCAGUCUUCUGGGGGGCCGGCGGCUGGACCCAUGCACUGCUCAUGGAGUCACUGUGGUGGAGGAGGCCCCAUCAGCGCACAUUUCAGUUGCAAAUUGAGAACCAAACAUAUUAGGUUCAAAAUGGGUCAGAAAGCAGCGGCGACAACUCGCAACAUCUACAGCGCAUUUGGCCCAGGAACGGCUGACGAACAUACAGUACAGUGGGGGUUCAAGAUUUGCACAGGAGACGAGAGCCGUGGAGAUGAGGGUGUAGUGGCCGGCCAUCAGAAGUUGACAGCGAGCAAUUGAGGACCGUCAUCCAGGCUGAUCCUCUAAAACCACACGAGCAGUUGCCACGGAAUUCAGUGUCGACUAUUCUACGGUCAUUCGGCAUCUGAAGCAAAUUGAAAAGGUAAAAAGCUCACUAAGUGGGUGCCUUGUGAGGUGGCUGAAAAUUUUAAAAAUGGUCGUUUUUAAGUUGUCUUUCUUCUCUUACUGUAUGCAAAACUUAUGAGCCACUUCUCGGUUGGAUUGUGAUGUGUGAUGAAAAGCGGAUUUUAUUCAACUGGCAAUGACCAGCUCAGUGGCUGGACUGAGAAAAAGCUCCAAAGCACUUUCCAGUCACACUUGCACCAAAAAAAGCUCAGGUCACUGUUUGGUGGUCUGCUGCCCCUCUGAUCCACGACAGCUUUCAGAAUCCCAGGGAAACCAUUACUUCUGAGAAGUAGGCUCAGCGGAUCAGUGAACACCAAAAACUGCAGCGCCAGUCAGCACCAGUCAACAGAAAGGGCGCAGUUCUCCACAACACCCGACCGCAUGUUGCACAACCAAUGCUUCAAAAGUUGAACGAGUUGGGCUAUGAAGUUUUACCUCACCCACCAUAUUCACCUGACCUCUCACCAACAGACCACCUCUUCAAGCAGCUCAACAACUUUUUGCAGGGAAAACAUUUCCACAACCAGCAGGAGGCAGAAGAUACUUUCCAAGAGUUCAUCAAAUCCCAAAGCACAGGUUUUUAUGCUAUAGAGAUUAAUUAUAAUGAUUUAUUGCUCCUUGGAAGAAAAACUAUGACCAGCCUAGGUCGCAUAUUCAAAAGCAGAGAUGUUACUUUGCCAACAAAAGUCUGUCUAGUCAAAGCUAUGGUUUUUCCAGUAGUCAUGUAUGGA
RNA transcript from Cervus elaphus (red deer), 6368 nucleotides. RefSeq lists it as uncharacterized. The record is from RefSeq and is a predicted model, not a curated record. NCBI's taxonomy places the organism in Eukaryota, Metazoa, Chordata, Mammalia, Artiodactyla, Cervidae. The transcript is spliced from 8 exons.